AAUAGCGUAUUCGUUUGACGUUAGCGACAGAAGAAAGCACCGGCUAACUCCGUGCCAGCAGCCGCGGUAAUACGGAGGGUGCGAGCGUUAAUCGGAAUUACUGGGCGUAAAGCGCAUGCAGGUGGUUUGUUAAGUCAGAUGUGAAAGACCCGGGGCGUCAACCUACGGAAUAGCAUUUGUAAACUAGGCAGACUAGAGUACUGUAGAGGGGGGUAGGAAUUUCAGGUGUAGCGGUGAAAUAGCGUAGAGAUCUGAAGGAAUACCGGUGGCGAAGGCGGCCCCCUCGGACAGAUACUGACACUCAGAUGCGAAAGCGUGGGGAGCAAACAGGAUUAGAUACCCUGGUAG
RNAcentral lists this ribosomal RNA (348 nucleotides) under uncultured bacterium. RNAcentral's name for it is "bacterial SSU rRNA". It matches the Rfam family "Bacterial small subunit ribosomal RNA", at positions 455 to 793 of the family's 1533-position model. The record is from RNAcentral.